RNAcentral lists this ribosomal RNA (450 nucleotides) under Kocuria sp. RNAcentral describes it as "bacterial SSU rRNA". It matches the Rfam family "Bacterial small subunit ribosomal RNA", at positions 341 to 803 of the family's 1533-position model. Lineage: Bacteria; Bacillati; Actinomycetota; Actinomycetes; Micrococcales; Micrococcaceae. The record is from RNAcentral.
ACGGGAGGCAGCAGUGGGGAAUAUUGCACAAUGGGCGCAAGCCUGAUGCAGCGACGCCGCGUGAGGGAUGACGGCCUUCGGGUUGUAAACCUCUUUCAGCACGGAAGAAGCGAAAGUGACGGUACGUGCAGAAGAAGCGCCGGCUAACUACGUGCCAGCAGCCGCGGUAAUACGUAGGGCGCAAGCGUUGUCCGGAAUUAUUGGGCGUAAAGAGCUCGUAGGCGGUUUGUCGCGUCUGCUGUGAAAGCCCGGGGCUUAACCCCGGGUGUGCAGUGGGUACGGGCAGACUUGAGUGCAGUAGGGGAGACUGGAACUCCUGGUGUAGCGGUGAAAUGCGCAGAUAUCAGGAAGAACACCGAUGGCGAAGGCAGGUCUCUGGGCUGUUACUGACGCUGAGGAGCGAAAGCAUGGGGAGCGAACAGGAUUAGAUACCCUGGUAGUCCAUGCCGU